CAUAACGACUCUCGGCAACGGAUAUCUCGGCUCUCGCAUCGAUGAAGAACGUAGCGAAAUGCGAUACGUGGUGUGAAUUGCAGGAUCCCGUGAACCAUCGAGUUUUUGAACGCAAGUUGCGCCCGAAGCCGUUAGGCCGAGGGCACGUCUGCCUGGGCGUCACGC
This 165-nucleotide ribosomal RNA is filed under the name Laportea bulbifera. Its description in RNAcentral is "5.8S ribosomal RNA". It matches the Rfam family "5.8S ribosomal RNA". From Rfam's summary of the family: 5.8S ribosomal RNA (5.8S rRNA) is a component of the large subunit of the eukaryotic ribosome. The record is from RNAcentral. Lineage: Eukaryota; Viridiplantae; Streptophyta; Magnoliopsida; Rosales; Urticaceae.